GACGAACGCUGGCGGCGUGCCUAAUACAUGCAAGUAGAACGCUGAAGGAGGAGCUUGCUUCUCUGGAUGAGUUGCGAACGGGUGAGUAACGCGUAGGUAACCUGCCUGGUAGCGGGGGAUAACUAUUGGAAACGAUAGCUAAUACCGCAUAAUAGUAGAUGUUGCAUGACAUUUGCUUAAAAGGUGCAAUUGCAUCACUACCAGAUGGACCUGCGUUGUAUUAGCUAGUUGGUGGGGUAACGGCUCACCAAGGCGACGAUACAUAGCCGACCUGAGAGGGUGAUCGGCCACACUGGGACUGAGACACGGCCCAGACUCCUACGGGAGGCAGCAGUAGGGAAUCUUCGGCAAUGGACGGAAGUCUGACCGAGCAACGCCGCGUGAGUGAAGAAGGUUUUCGGAUCGUAAAGCUCUGUUGUAAGAGAAGAACGAGUGUGAGAGUGGAAAGUUCACACGACG
Molecule: ribosomal RNA, 459 nt
Filed under: Streptococcus mitis
Lineage: Bacteria; Bacillati; Bacillota; Bacilli; Lactobacillales; Streptococcaceae
Description: bacterial SSU rRNA
Rfam family: Bacterial small subunit ribosomal RNA
Source: RNAcentral